GAUGAACGCUAGCUACAGGCUUAACGCAUGCAAGUCGAGGGGUAACGAGAGGAAAGCUUGCUUUCCUUGUUGACGACCGGCGCACGGGUGAGUAACGCGUAUCCAACCUGCCCCCAACUAGGGAAUAACCUUGCGAAAGUAAGACUAAUACCCUAUAAUUUCCUCAGAUGUCAUCUGAUGAGGAAUAAAGAUUUAUCGGUUGUGGAUGGGGAUGCGUCUGAUUAGCUUGUUGGCGGGGUAACGGCCCACCAAGGCAACGAUCAGUAGGGGUUCUGAGAGGAAGGUCCCCCACAUUGGAACUGAGACACGGUCCAAACUCCUACGGGAGGCAGCAGUGAGGAAUAUUGGUCAAUGGGCGGAAGCCUGAACCAGCCAAGUAGCGUGCAGGAUGACGGCCCUAUGGGUUGUAAACUGCUUUUAUACAGGAAUAAAGUUAGCCACGUGUGGUUAUUUGUAGGUACUGUAUGAAUAAGGACCGGCUAAUUCCGUGCCAGCCGCCGCAGUAA
Molecule: ribosomal RNA, 506 nt
Filed under: uncultured bacterium
Lineage: Bacteria
Description: partial 16S ribosomal RNA
Rfam family: Bacterial small subunit ribosomal RNA
Source: RNAcentral